AGGUCCCAAAAAAAGCAACCUUUGGUCCCCUUCAACUCGUCCUUUGCUCCCCGGCCCUCCCUCUCUCUCAAUCAUGUACCUCCGACGUCGCCGGUACUGGCCCAUCUCCGACGCCGGUCGCCCUCGCCGCGGCCGCGGCGCUUUCGGCGGGUCGGGGAUCGCGCACGGGGGACGCUUCAACACGGUUCCUUGCUCCUCACCGUGCAGUGCGCAUUAAUUCAGUGUAACUUGUCUCUGAAUCAUUCUCUGCAGGAUCCUUGUCUGCGACCUGACCUGCAGCGCCACUGAAUUUUCAGGAAACCAUGUACAAUAAUAAUCGUAAUAAUAACCUCCUGCAGAUUCAUGCAACGUAGAUUGAUGUGGAUGUCGUCCAUAACGAAUCGCCAAGUAUCAAUGAGCAAUGAAUUGAGCUGGAGAGAAAAUUAGACACGUAGAUACAUCAUACUCCGUCUACAUCUGUAGGUAACCAACUGAAAGGCAAGUAGUUCAAGGAGCCUUACACGAUCAAGUAAGGUGGUACACAUCAGUGGUGUGUCAUACGUAUAAGUUUGUGAAACAUAUUCGGUUAGUUAUAUCUAUGUGCUCGGCAAAGAUCAAGAGAUCCUGCCUGCGUAGAAAACAUCUUUAAUAAAGAUCAAGAAAUCAAAGGGCGGAAUGUUUUCAAAAUGAA
Molecule: long non-coding RNA, 670 nt
Filed under: Hordeum vulgare
Lineage: Eukaryota; Viridiplantae; Streptophyta; Magnoliopsida; Poales; Poaceae
Description: long non-coding RNA (HVUL_LNC019329)
Source: RNAcentral